AAGCUCGUAGUUGAAUUUCGGGAUCAAUAUUUCGGUCAUGCCGUUGGUAUGCACUGUUAUCAUUGAUUUCUCACCUUCUAAAGAACCGUAAUGCCAUUAAUUUGGUGUUACGGGGAAUUAGGACUGUUACCUUGAAAAAAUUAGAGUGUUUAAAGCAGGCUCACGCUUGAAUACAUUAGCAUGGAAUAAUGAAAUAGGACAUCCGAUUCUAUUUUGUUGGUUUCUAGGAUCGAUGUAAUGAUUAAUAGGGAUAGUUGGGGGCAUUAGUAUUCAAUUGUCAGAGGUGAAAUUCUUGGAUUUAUUGAAGACCAACUACUGCGAAAGCAUUUGCCAAGGAUGUUUUCAUUAAUCAAGAACGAAAGUUAGGGGAUCGAAGACGAUCAGAUACCGUCGUAGUCUUAACCAUAAACUAUGCCGACUAGGGAUCGGAUGAUGUUAAUUUUUUAAUGACUCAUUCGGCGCCUUACGGGAAACCAAAGUGUUUGGGUUCCGGGGGGAGUAUGGUCGCAAGGCUGAAACUUAAAGGAAUUGACGGAAGGGCACCACCAGGGGUGGAGCCUGCGGCUUAAUUUGACUCAACACGGGGAAACUCACCAGGUCCAGACAUAGUAAGGAUUGACAGAUUGAGAGCUCUUUCUUGAUUCUAUGGGUG
RNAcentral lists this ribosomal RNA (652 nucleotides) under uncultured Funneliformis. RNAcentral describes it as "SSU rRNA". It matches the Rfam family "Eukaryotic small subunit ribosomal RNA", at positions 624 to 1276 of the family's 1831-position model. The record is from RNAcentral. Lineage: Eukaryota; Fungi; Glomeromycota; Glomeromycetes; Glomerales; Glomeraceae.